Trifolium pratense (red clover) is the source of this 359-nucleotide long non-coding RNA. RefSeq lists it as uncharacterized. The record is from RefSeq and is a predicted model, not a curated record. Lineage: Eukaryota; Viridiplantae; Streptophyta; Magnoliopsida; Fabales; Fabaceae. The transcript is spliced from 3 exons.
AAUUCCAUCAAAGCAAGAUGAGCAACUAAAAUCAUCAGCUUCCAACGCGUUCAACGACACUACUAUAAACAUAAAAACCCUACGUCUCUCUCACUUUUCUUCAAUUCCAUCAAAGCAAGAUGAGCAACUACAAUAAUCAGCUUCAUGUUCAUGUUCGUGUUCCUCCCCCACAAGGGUAUCCUCCACCUCUCAAGGUUACACUCAACAAGGGUAUCCUCCUCAAGAGUACUAUGAGGGAAAAGGACAUGAAUGACUAACUUUCUCUUGGAGCAGGCAUUAUCCUAAGCCUCUCAUCAGAUGAUGCCUGAUUUCCCCCACUAAAUCUUUCUUCUGCUAAAAGUGACUGCAAAUCACUCCCA